GGGAUGAUGGUCCAAGGGUAAGAUUCUCGCUUCGGGUGCGAGAGGCUCCGGGUUCGAGUCCCGGUCGUCCCC
Molecule: transfer RNA, 72 nt
Organism: Gonapodya prolifera JEL478
Lineage: Eukaryota; Fungi; Monoblepharomycota; Monoblepharidomycetes; Monoblepharidales; Gonapodyaceae
Rfam family: tRNA
About the family: Transfer RNA (tRNA) molecules are approximately 80 nucleotides in length.
Source: Rfam